AUGGUUGAUUUGUCGUGGGUAGUAGCCGGUGAUUUCAAUGAAAUCUUGCAUGGAUUCGAGAAAGACGGGGGUAACAUCAGGCCCCAACGAUGCAUGCGGGCUUUUAGAGAUGUACUAGAUGAAUGUAAUCUGGAAGAUCAGGGAUAUCACGGUGACAUUUUCACUUGGAGACAAGGUCAAAUCAGGGAGAGACUUGAUAGGGCGGUCAGUAAUCAUGGUUGGACCACCAUGUUUCCCCAUCAUGGAGUGACCAAUGAAGAGUUUAACAAGUCUGAUCAUCGCCGAUUCUUAUUGAUACUAUUUAUUCUGAACGGGUGCAGACUAUGA
RNAcentral lists this ribosomal RNA (327 nucleotides) under Triticum aestivum (bread wheat). RNAcentral's name for it is "partial small subunit ribosomal RNA". Lineage: Eukaryota; Viridiplantae; Streptophyta; Magnoliopsida; Poales; Poaceae. The record is from RNAcentral.